Molecule: ribosomal RNA, 253 nt
Filed under: uncultured bacterium
Lineage: Bacteria
Description: partial 16S ribosomal RNA
Rfam family: Bacterial small subunit ribosomal RNA
Source: RNAcentral
UACGUAGGGGGCAAGCGUUGUCCGGAAUCAUUGGGCGUAAAGCGCGUGUAGGCGGUCCGGUAAGUCCGCUGUGAAAGUCGGGGGCUCAACCCUCGGAUGCCGGUGGAUACUGUCGGGCUUGAGUACGGAAGAGGCGAGUGGAAUUCCUGGUGUAGCGGUGAAAUGCGCAGAUAUCAGGAGGAACACCAAUGGCGAAGGCAGCACUCUGGGACGUGACUGACGCUGAGACGCGAAAGCGUGGGGAGCGAACAGG